RNAcentral lists this ribosomal RNA (505 nucleotides) under uncultured Geobacter sp. RNAcentral describes it as "bacterial SSU rRNA". It matches the Rfam family "Bacterial small subunit ribosomal RNA", at positions 335 to 831 of the family's 1533-position model. Lineage: Bacteria; Pseudomonadati; Thermodesulfobacteriota; Desulfuromonadia; Geobacterales; Geobacteraceae. The record is from RNAcentral.
ACUCCUACGGGAGGCAGCAGUGGGGAAUUUUGCGCAAUGGGCGAAAGCCUGACGCAGCAACGCCGCGUGAGUGAUGAAGGCUUUCGGGUCGUAAAGCUCUGUCAAUGGGAAAGAAGUGUAUUAUGGCUAAUAUCCAUGAUACUUGACGGUACCCAUAAAGGAAGCACCGGCUAACUCCGUGCCAGCAGCCGCGGUAAUACGGAGGGUGCGAGCGUUGUUCGGAAUUAUUGGGCGUAAAGCGCGUGUAGGCGGUUUAUUAAGUCUGAUGUGAAAGCCCCGGGCUCAACCUGGGAAGUGCAUUGGAUACUGGUAGACUUGAAUACGGGAGAGGGUAGUGGAAUUCCUGGUGUAGGAGUGAAAUCCGUAGAUAUCAGGAGGAACACCGGUGGCGAAGGCGGCUGCCUGGACCGAUAUUGACGCUGAGACGCGAAAGCGUGGGUAGCAAACAGGAUUAGAUACCCUGGUAGUCCACGCCGUAAACGAUGAGAACUAGGUGUCGCGGGUA